AACAGGAUUAGAUACCCUGGUAGUCCACGCCCUAAACGAUGUCAACUAGCUGUUGGGGCCUUCGGGCCUUGGUAGCGCAGCUAACGCGUGAAGUUGACCGCCUGGGGAGUACGGUCGCAAGAUUAAAACUCAAAGGAAUUGACGGGGACCCGCACAAGCGGUGGAUGAUGUGGAUUAAUUCGAUGCAACGCGAAAAACCUUACCUACCCUUGACAUGUCUGGAAUGCCGAAGAGAUUUGGUAGUGCUCGCAAGAGAACCGGAACACAGGUGCUGCAUGGCUGUCGUCGGCUCGUGUCGUGAGAUGUUGGGUUAAGUCCCGCAACGAGCGCAACCCUUGUCAUUAGUUGCUACGAAAGGGCACUCAAAUGAGACUGCCGGUGACAAACCGGAGGAAGGUGGGGAUGACGUCAAGUCCUCAUGGCCCUUAUGGGUAGGGCUUCACACGUCAUACAAUGGUCGGGACAGAGGGUCGCCAACCCGCGAGGGGGAGCCAAUCCCAGAAACCCGAUCGUAGUCCGGAUCGCAGUCUGCAACUCGACUGCGUGAAGUCGGAAUCGCUAGUAAUCGCGGAUCAGCAUGUCGCGGUGAAUACGUUCCCGGGUCUUGUACACACCGCCCGUCACACCAUGGGAGUGGGUUUUACCAGAAGUAGUUAGCCUAACCGCAAGGGGGGCGAUUACCACGGUAGGAUUCAUGACUGGGGUGAAGUCGUAACAAGGUAACC
RNAcentral lists this ribosomal RNA (725 nucleotides) under uncultured bacterium. RNAcentral's name for it is "bacterial SSU rRNA". It matches the Rfam family "Bacterial small subunit ribosomal RNA", at positions 771 to 1501 of the family's 1533-position model. The record is from RNAcentral.